AUUGAACGCUGGCGGCAGGCUUAACACAUGCAAGUCGAGCGAGCGGCGGACGGGUGAGUAAUGUAUGGGAAACUGCCUGAUGGAGGGGGAUAACUACUGGAAACGGUAGCUAAUACCGCAUACCAUCAGAUGUGCCCAGAUGGGAUUAGCUAGUAGGUGGGGUAAUGGCUCACCUAGGCGACGAUCCCUAGCUGGUCUGAGAGGAUGACCGGCCACACUGGACCGGAGCAACGGUCCAGAUCCCUCCGGGAGGCAGCAGUGGGGAAUAUUGGACAAUGGGGGCAAGCUUGACGCAGCCCUGCGGCGUGUGUGAGGAAGGCCUUGGGGUUGUAAAGUACUUUCAGAGAGGAGGCGUUACUCGAACAAGAAGCACCGGCUAACUCCGUGCCAGCAGCCGCGGUAAUAC
This 406-nucleotide ribosomal RNA is filed under the name uncultured bacterium. RNAcentral's name for it is "partial 16S ribosomal RNA". It matches the Rfam family "Bacterial small subunit ribosomal RNA", at positions 30 to 526 of the family's 1533-position model. The record is from RNAcentral.